AGUCACUGACAUUAGACUACCCCGUAGUCCAGGGUGUAAACGCUGCAGACUUGGUGUUGGAAGUCCUUUGGGGGCAUUCAGUGCCGGAGAGAAGUUGUUAAGUCUGCUACUUGGGAGUACGUCCGCAAGGAUGAACUUAAAGGAAUUGGCGGGGGAGCACCGCAACGGGAGGAGCGUGCGGUUUAAUUGGAUUCAACACCGUAAAACUCACCAGGGAAGACUGUUACAUGAAAGCCGAGAUGAAGACUCUGCUAGAUUUUCAG
RNAcentral lists this ribosomal RNA (263 nucleotides) under uncultured archaeon. RNAcentral describes it as "partial 16S ribosomal RNA". It matches the Rfam family "Archaeal small subunit ribosomal RNA", at positions 718 to 982 of the family's 1478-position model. The record is from RNAcentral.